This 488-nucleotide ribosomal RNA is filed under the name uncultured bacterium. Its description in RNAcentral is "SSU rRNA". It matches the Rfam family "Bacterial small subunit ribosomal RNA", at positions 26 to 523 of the family's 1533-position model. The record is from RNAcentral.
AGGACGAACGCUGGCGGCGUGCUUAACACAUGCAAGUCGAGCGAGAUCCAUCUCGUGGCAACACGAGGGAAGAUCUAGCGGCGAACGGGUGAGUAACACGUGAGAAACCUGCCCUGAAGUCUGGGAUAACCCGAGGAAACUCGAGCUAAUACCGGAUGUCUUCCAACAGUCGCAUGGCUGAUGGAAGAAAGAUUUAUCGCUUCAGGAGGGUCUCGCGGCCUAUCAGCUUGUUGGCGGGGUAACGGCCCACCAAGGCGUCGACGGGUAGCUGGUCUGAGAGGACGAUCAGCCACACUGGGACUGAGACACGGCCCAGACUCCUACGGGAGGCAGCAGUGGGGAAUAUUGCGCAAUGGGCGAAAGCCUGACGCAGCAACGCCGCGUGCGGGAUGAAGGCCUUCGGGUUGUAAACCGCUUUCGAGUGGGGACGAAUUGACGGUACCCACAGAAGAAGCCCCGGCCAACUACGUGCCAGCACGCCGCGGUAA